Molecule: ribosomal RNA, 254 nt
Filed under: uncultured bacterium
Lineage: Bacteria
Description: partial 16S ribosomal RNA
Rfam family: Bacterial small subunit ribosomal RNA
Source: RNAcentral
UACGUAGGCAGCGAGCGUUGUUCGGAGUUACUGGGCGUAAAGGGUGUGUAGGCGGUUUUCUAAGUUUGGUGUGAAAUCUCCCGGCUCAACCGGGAGGGUGCGCCGAAAACUGGGAGACUAGAGUGCGGGAUGGGAGAGUAGAAUUCCUGGUGUAGCGGUGAAAUGCGUAGAUAUCUGGAGGAACACCGGUGGCGAAGGCGGCAUCCUGGACCAACACUGACGCUGAGUGAGCGAAAGCCAGGGGAGCAAACGGG